Molecule: long non-coding RNA, 1188 nt
Filed under: Oreochromis niloticus (Nile tilapia)
Lineage: Eukaryota; Metazoa; Chordata; Actinopteri; Cichliformes; Cichlidae
Description: lncRNA (ENSONIG00000029871.1)
Source: RNAcentral
GCUCUUGAGACACCAGGUGCUGUGGUAACUAUAUAUUUACAUAUUGCAGAUUACAGUAGUAAAUGUUGCAGGUUGGCUACUCCCAUAAUGCCAAAGACUCAUGGCCAUCGUAACUGGAAGGUAACUGUGAGACCAACACACAGACGCUGUGCACUUUAAAUGAAAAAUAACUCUCAAAGUGUUUUUCUCUGGCCCACGAUGAAGCUUCAACAGUACAACGUCAAUACAAAUUUUUAAUAUGCCAUAAAACACAGUUUCUAAAUAUCUAAUUUCACACAUUAUACAUAUUUAAAUCUGCUACCCUCAGUAACACAUUACAUAUGUUAAUAUUUCACAUACAGGAGCAUCUAUCUAUGACAAAAUUUGCCUUUGACAUACUUGAUUCUGACAUGAUAAAUAAAUUUAGUUCCUAUUUUCUCAGUUAAAAAAGGAUGUGUGUGGAAACGGAGAAGUCAGUAAGCAUUUUAUAGGUUGACUUUAGACAGUUUGCUAAAAAAUGUUUUGCUCUAGGAAAUGAAAAACAAAGAGAAAACACAUGAACAGAGGACUGCAUUGCCCACUCAGUGAUAUAACAUAAAAUUGUAGUUGUGUAACUUUCAGCAUAGUGGGUUCUUUAUACCCUCUAUGAACAGGGGAACUGGUGGCUGCGGUGUGUCAGUAUACACACGCAGAUAUAAGUACUUGGUGACAAGUGACUUCACCUCCCCAGCCCCAUAUUAACCUCAUAGUUCCUCAUAGUUGAACGAUUAUCUUUUCAGUUGUAAUGAGAGAUGUCACUUAAUCUGUGUGUCUAACACAAUUCAACUUUAUAUAGACUUUGUGUUUCUUCUUCUUUGUGUUUUAUCUCCAGUGUUUGCCCAAAUCACAUCACAAUUAUCUUUGCAAGAAGCACAAUACAGAUAAGGUGACGGACAAUUUAUUUACUUUGUACAUGCGAUUUGCAAUUGUAACAUACAGCGUUUCAUAUAUGGUCCAAACCAUCAUAUCAAACCUAAUAAAAACAUUACAAGAGAACUUGUACAUGUUCAGCAUGACAAAGAAAUUGAAUGUCAUUGCUGCGGUUGAAUGACAUGAAGCAGAAUUUAGUUUUGAAAAUAUAUCAGAUAUUUCCAAACAGAGUAUGAACGUCUACCAUAUAUUUGUGCACCCACACUUAAAAUUGCAUAGGGGAUGUCAACAUGCCUACAU